Molecule: long non-coding RNA, 261 nt
Filed under: Ananas comosus (pineapple)
Lineage: Eukaryota; Viridiplantae; Streptophyta; Magnoliopsida; Poales; Bromeliaceae
Description: long non-coding RNA (ACOM_LNC031399)
Source: RNAcentral
GAUAGGUGAGAGUUGUUUCUGGUACCCACUGGUGGUAGGGAAUUCAAAUUUGAAUUUGAAUUAAAGAUUUAGGGUUUAUGCUUUGGUAUAUGUGCGAUAUACGGAUUAAUUAGAGAGCGGAUGGGUUCCGUCGCGAAUCCGUGACCAAAUCGGACGAAUCAACAUUGNACAAGUGGUGUAUUGAGCUGAGGUCAGUAAUUGUCCACUGGGAACUAUAAAUUAUAGUUCUCACGCCCUCUGUUUUAUGUCUUAUUUCAGAGG